AAAUUGAAGAGUUUGAUCAUGGCUCAGAUUGAACGCUGGCGGCAGGCCUAACACAUGCAAGUCGAACGGUAACAGAAAGCAGCUUGCUGCUUUGCUGACGAGUGGCGGACGGGUGAGUAAUGUCUGGGAAACUGCCUGAUGGAGGGGGAUAACUACUGGAAACGGUAGCUAAUACCGCAUAACGUCGCAAGACCAAAGAGGGGGACCUUCGGGCCUCUUGCCAUCGGAUGUGCCCAGAUGGGAUUAGCUUGUUGGUGGGGUAACGGCUCACCAAGGCGACGAUCCCUAGCUGGUCUGAGAGGAUGACCAGCCACACUGGAACUGAGACACGGUCCAGACUCCUACGGGAGGCAGCAGUGGGGAAUAUUGCACAAUGGGCGCAAGCCUGAUGCAGCCAUGCCGCGUGUAUGAAGAAGGCCUUCGGGUUGUAAAGUACUUUCAGCGGGGAGGAAGGGAGUAAAGUUAAUACCUUUGCUCAUUGACGUUACCCGCAGAAGAAGCACCGGCUAACUCCGUGCCAGCAGCCGCGGUAAUACGGAGGGUGCAAGCGUUAAUCGGAAUUACUGGGCGUAAAGCGCACGCAGGCGGUUUGUUAAGUCAGAUGUGAAAUCCCCGGGCUCAACCUGGGAACUGCAUCUGAUACUGGCAAGCUUGAGUCUCGUAGAGGGGGUAGAAUUCCAGGUGUAGCGGUGAAAUGCGUAGAGAUCUGGAGGAAUACCGGUGGCGAAGGCGGCCCCCUGGACGAAGACUGACGCUCAGGUGCGAAAGCGUGGGGAGCAAACAGGAUUAGAUACCCUGGUAGUCCACGCCGUAAACGAUGUCGACUUGGAGGUUGUGCCCUUGAGGCGUGGCUUCCGGAGCUAACGCGUUAAGUCGACCGCCUGGGGAGUACGGCCGCAAGGUUAAAACUCAAAUGAAUUGACGGGGGCCCGCACAAGCGGUGGAGCAUGUGGUUUAAUUCGAUGCAACGCGAAGAACCUUACCUGGUCUUGACAUCCACGGAAGUUUUCAGAGAUGAGAAUGUGCCUUCGGGAACCGUGAGACAGGUGCUGCAUGGCUGUCGUCAGCUCGUGUUGUGAAAUGUUGGGUUAAGUCCCGCAACGAGCGCAACCCUUAUCCUUUGUUGCCAGCGGUCCGGCCGGGAACUCAAAGGAGACUGCCAGUGAUAAACUGGAGGAAGGUGGGGAUGACGUCAAGUCAUCAUGGCCCUUACGACCAGGGCUACACACGUGCUACAAUGGCGCAUACAAAGAGAAGCGACCUCGCGAGAGCAAGCGGACCUCAUAAAGUGCGUCGUAGUCCGGAUUGGAGUCUGCAACUCGACUCCAUGAAGUCGGAAUCGCUAGUAAUCGUGGAUCAGAAUGCCACGGUGAAUACGUUCCCGGGCCUUGUACACACCGCCCGUCACACCAUGGGAGUGGGUUGCAAAAGAAGUAGGUAGCUUAACCUUCGGGAGGGCGCUUACCACUUUGUGAUUCAUGACUGGGGUGAAGUCGUAACAAGGUAACCGUAGGGGAACCUGCGGUUGGAUCACCUCCUUACCUUAAAGAAGC
This 1553-nucleotide ribosomal RNA is filed under the name Escherichia coli O22:H8. Its description in RNAcentral is "bacterial SSU rRNA". It matches the Rfam family "Bacterial small subunit ribosomal RNA". Lineage: Bacteria; Pseudomonadati; Pseudomonadota; Gammaproteobacteria; Enterobacterales; Enterobacteriaceae. The record is from RNAcentral.